This is a long non-coding RNA of Sapajus apella (tufted capuchin), 112 nucleotides long. RefSeq lists it as uncharacterized. NCBI's taxonomy places the organism in Eukaryota, Metazoa, Chordata, Mammalia, Primates, Cebidae. The transcript has 3 exons. The record is from RefSeq and is a predicted model, not a curated record.
UUUUCACCAGGCUGGAGUGCAGUGGCAUGAUCUCGGCUCACUGCAACCUCCACCUCCUGUGUUCAAGCAAUUAUCCCUGACUCAGCAUCUCGAGUAGCUGGGACUACAGGCA